This 77-nucleotide transfer RNA is filed under the name Chloroflexota bacterium. RNAcentral describes it as "Chloroflexi bacterium tRNA-Glu". It matches the Rfam family "tRNA". Rfam says of the family: Transfer RNA (tRNA) molecules are approximately 80 nucleotides in length. Their secondary structure includes four short double-helical elements and three loops (D, anti-codon, and T loops). RNAcentral also lists the same sequence under 1 other name. Lineage: Bacteria; Bacillati; Chloroflexota. The record is from RNAcentral.
GCCUCCAUCGUCUAGCGGCCUAGGACGACACCCUUUCAAGGUGUAGGUCGCGGGUUCGAAUCCCGCUGGAGGUACCA